This 254-nucleotide ribosomal RNA is filed under the name uncultured bacterium. Its description in RNAcentral is "partial 16S ribosomal RNA". It matches the Rfam family "Bacterial small subunit ribosomal RNA", at positions 524 to 776 of the family's 1533-position model. The record is from RNAcentral.
UACAGAGGGGGCAAGCGUUGUUCGGAAUUACUGGGCGUAAAGGGCGCGUAGGCGGCCUGUUAAGUCGAACGUGAAAUCCCCGGGCUCAACCCGGGAACUGCGUCCGAUACUGGCAGGCUUGAAUUCGGGAGAGGGAUGCGGAAUUCCAGGUGUAGCGGUGAAAUGCGUAGAUAAUCUGGAGGAACACCGGUGGCGAAGGCGGCAUCCUGGACCGAGUUGACGCUGAGGUCGCGAAAGCCAGGGGAGCAAACGGG